Molecule: ribosomal RNA, 253 nt
Filed under: uncultured bacterium
Lineage: Bacteria
Description: partial 16S ribosomal RNA
Rfam family: Bacterial small subunit ribosomal RNA
Source: RNAcentral
UACAGAGGCCCCAAGCAUUAUCCGGAAUCACUGGGCGUAAAGGGUGUCGAGGCGGUCGUAUUAGUCCUUCGUAAAAUCUACGAGCUUAACUUGUAGUGGGCGAGGGAAACGGUACGACUUGAGGUUUGGAGAGGUGCGUGGAACUCACGGUGUAGGGGUGAAAUCCGUUGAUAUCGUGGGGAACACCAAAGGCGAAGGCAGCGCACUGGCCAAAAUCUGACGCUCACACACGAAAGCCAGGGGAGCGAACGGG